This 724-nucleotide unclassified non-coding RNA is filed under the name Hevea brasiliensis (rubber tree). Lineage: Eukaryota; Viridiplantae; Streptophyta; Magnoliopsida; Malpighiales; Euphorbiaceae. The record is from RNAcentral.
CUCGUCAUUAUGCUGGUACCAGAUAUUUGAAAAGAGGUGUAAAUGAGAAGGGUCGCGUAGCAAAUGAUGUAGAAACAGAACAAAUUGUGCUUGAAGAUGUGCCUGCUGGGUGCCCGCUCCAAAUAAGUGCUGUUGUGCAAAAUCGGGGUUCAAUACCUCUUUUUUGGUCUCAAGAGACGUCACGUUUGAAUAUUAAGCCUGACAUCAUACUCUCUAGGAAGGACUUGAAUUUUGAAGCCACCAAACGUCACUUUGAGAAUCUUGUGAAGAGAUAUGGAAAUCCAAUUAUAAUAUUGAAUUUGAUUAAGACUCGUGAGAAGCGGCCAAGAGAAACUAUUCUUCGUGCAGCAUUUGCUAAUGCUAUUGAGUUUAUAAAUAAAGAUCUUUCUGAGGAAAACCACUUGAGAUUUCUUCAUUGGGACCUAAAUAAACACUCAAGAAGCAAAGCAACAAAUGUCCUGACACUUCUGGGCAAAGUCGCUGCUAAUGCAUUGGAGUUAACAGGCUUCCUUCACUGUCAACUUAUUCCUGCCUCAAAGACUGGGAAAUUGCUAAAAUUAUCGCCCAUUGACAAUACUGAAGAUCAAGCUGGAGAAGACCCUUGUGAAGAGAGAACUGAACCGAAUUCCCCUAGUGGAGAUUACCAUGUCAACCUUUCAACACUACAGAGAGGGGUAUUACGAACUAAUUGCCCCCCCCCCCUAGGGUGUAUAGGGGGUUGUUG